AGCCUUUCGGGGAACCAGGAGACAGGUGCUGCAAGGCUGUCGUCAGCUCGUGUCGUGAGAUGUUGGGUUAAGUCCCGCAACGAGCGCAACCCUUAUCUUUAAUUGCCAGCAUUCAGUUGGGCACUUUAAAGAGACUGCCGGUGUUAAACCGGAGGAAGGUGGGGAUGACGUCAAGUCCUCAUGGCCUUUAUGCUUAGGGCUACACACGUGCUACAAUGGGUGGUACAAAGAGAAGCCAACUCGCGAGAGCGCGCUAAUCUCAAAAAGCCAUCCUCAGUUCGGAUUGGAGUCUGCAACUCGACUCCAUGAAGUUGGAAUCGCUAGUAAUCGCGGAUCAGCAUGCCGCGGUGAAUACGUUCCCGGGCCUU
This 368-nucleotide ribosomal RNA is filed under the name uncultured Smithella sp. RNAcentral describes it as "bacterial SSU rRNA". It matches the Rfam family "Bacterial small subunit ribosomal RNA", at positions 1011 to 1382 of the family's 1533-position model. Lineage: Bacteria; Pseudomonadati; Thermodesulfobacteriota; Syntrophia; Syntrophales; Smithellaceae. The record is from RNAcentral.